RNAcentral lists this ribosomal RNA (594 nucleotides) under Ganoderma australe. RNAcentral's name for it is "partial large subunit ribosomal RNA". It matches the Rfam family "Eukaryotic large subunit ribosomal RNA", at positions 392 to 981 of the family's 3401-position model. Lineage: Eukaryota; Fungi; Basidiomycota; Agaricomycetes; Polyporales; Polyporaceae. The record is from RNAcentral.
UCGGUACGUGUAAUUGCUGAAGGGAACGCUUGAAGUCAGUCGCGUUGUCCGGAACUCAGCCUUGCUUUUGCUUGGUGCACUUUCCGGAUGACGGGUCAGCAUCGAUUUUGACCGUCGGAAAAGGGCUGGAGUAAUGUGGCACCUCCGGGUGUGUUAUAGACUCUGGUCGCAUACGGCGGUUGGGAUCGAGGAACGCAGCGCGCCGCAAGGCAGGGGUUCGCCCACUUUCGCGCUUAGGAUGCUGGCAUAAUGGCUUUAAACGACCCGUCUUGAAACACGGACCAAGGAGUCUAACAUACCUGCGAGUGUUUGGGUGGAAAACCCGAGCGCGUAAUGAAAGUGAAAGUUGAGAUCCCUGUCGUGGGGAACAUCCACCCCCCGACCCAAACUUCUCUGACCGAUCCCCGGUAAAACAUGGAUGGUGGGACCCCAAAGAAGGGGAACUAUGGCUGAAUAAGGUGAAACCCGAAGAAACUCUGGGGGAAGGUCCUAACGAUUCUGAACUGGCAAUCCAUCCUCCAAUUUGGGUAUUAGGGCCAAAGAAUAAUCCAACCCUCUAAUAACUGGGUCCUGGCCAAAUUUCCCCCAAGAUAA